UACAGAGGGUGCAAACGUUGUUCGGAUUUACUGGGCGUAGAGCGCGUGUAGGCUGCUUGGAAAGUCGGAUGUGAAAGCCCUGGGCUCAACCUGGGAAGUGCAUUCGAAACUUCCAAGCUCGAGUCUCGGAGAGGAAGGCGGAAUUCUCGGUGUAGAGGUGAAAUUCGUAGAUAUCGAGAGGAACAUCGGUGGCGAAGGCGGCCUUCUGGACGAUGACCGACGCUGAGACGCGAAAGCGUGGGGAGCAAACAGG
RNAcentral lists this unclassified non-coding RNA (253 nucleotides) under uncultured Polyangiaceae bacterium. Its description in RNAcentral is "contains 16S-23S intergenic spacer region". It matches the Rfam family "Bacterial small subunit ribosomal RNA", at positions 524 to 776 of the family's 1533-position model. Lineage: Bacteria; Pseudomonadati; Myxococcota; Polyangiales; Polyangiaceae. The record is from RNAcentral.